UACGAAGGGCGCUAGCGUUGUUCGGAAUCACUGGGCGUAAAGCGCACGUAGGCGGAUGUGUCAGUCAGGGGUGAAAUCCCGGAGCUCAACUUCGGAACUGCCUUUGAUACAGCACGUCUUGAGUCCGGAAGAGGUGGGUGGAAUUCCUAGUGUAGAGGUGAAAUUCGUAGAUAUUAGGAAGAACACCGGUGGCGAAGGCGGCCCACUGGUCCGGUACUGACGCUGAGGUGCGAAAGCAUGGGGAGCGAACAGG
RNAcentral lists this ribosomal RNA (253 nucleotides) under uncultured bacterium. RNAcentral's name for it is "partial 16S ribosomal RNA". It matches the Rfam family "Bacterial small subunit ribosomal RNA", at positions 524 to 776 of the family's 1533-position model. The record is from RNAcentral.